Molecule: ribosomal RNA, 1250 nt
Filed under: Staphylococcus aureus
Lineage: Bacteria; Bacillati; Bacillota; Bacilli; Caryophanales; Staphylococcaceae
Description: partial 23S ribosomal RNA
Rfam family: Bacterial large subunit ribosomal RNA
Source: RNAcentral
CACUGCCGAGAAAAGCCUCUAGAUAGAAAAUAGGUGCCCGUACCGCAAACCGACACAGGUAGUCAAGAUGAGAAUUCUAAGGUGAGCGAGCGAACUCUCGUUAAGGAACUCGGCAAAAUGACCCCGUAACUUCGGGAGAAGGGGUGCUCUUUAGGGUUAACGCCCAGAAGAGCCGCAGUGAAUAGGCCCAAGCGACUGUUUAUCAAAAACACAGGUCUCUGCUAAACCGUAAGGUGAUGUAUAGGGGCUGACGCCUGCCCGGUGCUGGAAGGUUAAGAGGAGUGGUUAGCUUCUGCGAAGCUACGAAUCGAAGCCCCAGUAAACGGCGGCCGUAACUAUAACGGUCCUAAGGUAGCGAAAUUCCUUGUCGGGUAAGUUCCGACCCGCACGAAAGGCGUAACGAUUUGGGCACUGUCUCAACGAGAGACUCGGUGAAAUCAUAGUACCUGUGAAGAUGCAGGUUACCCGCGACAGGACGGAAAGACCCCGUGGAGCUUUACUGUAGCCUGAUAUUGAAAUUCGGCACAGCUUGUACAGGAUAGGUAGGAGCCUUUGAAACGUGAGCGCUAGCUUACGUGGAGGCGCUGGUGGGAUACUACCCUAGCUGUGUUGGCUUUCUAACCCGCACCACUUAUCGUGGUGGGAGACAGUGUCAGGCGGGCAGUUUGACUGGGGCGGUCGCCUCCUAAAAGGUAACGGAGGCGCUCAAAGGUUCCCUCAGAAUGGUUGGAAAUCAUUCAUAGAGUGUAAAGGCAUAAGGGAGCUUGACUGCGAGACCUACAAGUCGAGCAGGGUCGAAAGACGGACUUAGUGAUCCGGUGGUUCCGCAUGGAAGGGCCAUCGCUCAACGGAUAAAAGCUACCCCGGGGAUAACAGGCUUAUCUCCCCCAAGAGUUCACAUCGACGGGGAGGUUUGGCACCUCGAUGUCGGCUCAUCGCAUCCUGGGGCUGUAGUCGGUCCCAAGGGUUGGGCUGUUCGCCCAUUAAAGCGGUACGCGAGCUGGGUUCAGAACGUCGUGAGACAGUUCGGUCCCUAUCCGUCGUGGGCGUAGGAAAUUUGAGAGGAGCUGUCCUUAGUACGAGAGGACCGGGAUGGACAUACCUCUGGUGUACCAGUUGUCGUGCCAACGGCAUAGCUGGGUAGCUAUGUGUGGACGGGAUAAGUGCUGAAAGCAUCUAAGCAUGAAGCCCCCCUCAAGAUGAGAUUUCCCAACUUCGGUUAUAAGAUCCCUCAAAGAUGAUGAGGUUAA